Drosophila rhopaloa is the source of this 1266-nucleotide RNA transcript. RefSeq lists it as uncharacterized. The record is from RefSeq and is a predicted model, not a curated record. NCBI's taxonomy places the organism in Eukaryota, Metazoa, Arthropoda, Insecta, Diptera, Drosophilidae. The transcript has 2 exons.
AGACGACGACGCAUCAUUAAAAUAUUUUCCACUCUUCGGUUUGUUGUUUGGUGUUAAAUCAAAAACCACUUGAACGAAAUAAAAUCUUUCUCACAGUCCGCGGUCGCACAAUGGCCAAAUGGUAUGGGUAUUUGUAUUCCAGGGAGUGGGGAGGGGGGAGGGGGGACUACAAACAAAUUAUGAGAACGUUCGGGAUCAAGACGAAGAAUGUUUUCUUUUUCUCGUUUCUUCGGUGGGUUCAGUUCAGUUCUCUGGGCUCUUUUGUUGUCCGACGAUGUCGUUGUUGGUAAAUUGAUGACAACAACAUCAGAAAUGCUGAAGCGUGCGCUUCAAAAAUGUAUCUGCAUAGUCGCCCGGAGAUACAAAAGCAAGCCCCGAGAUACAUUUCGGUGAGCUGACCAUUUUGCGUAUCCGUGACGAUUUCUCGUUUACCUGUGCGACACAGACCCAAAAAGCAGACAAUAAAUCAAUAAUCAAGCCGCCGAGAGAGAGCAGUCGAAUGGGUAGAUGGGUAGAUGUUCAGAUGGAUGGAUGGAUGGGUGGACGGAUUGGUUGGAAUCAUUUCGGAUAGAGAGGCGAGUCUGGGGCCUUAUCAUCAUUAUUCAAAGCGAGCCACCAACGCCGCCGACACCGCCACCGCCGACACAUGGAAAUGGGAAUAGAAAAAUAAUAAUAAUAACGAGAACAACAAACAGAGACCGAGGGAAAACAAAACACAGAACCAAACCGAACAAAACGAGUUCCUAGAGUUUCUAAAACCCAUAAAACGACGACGAGUUUUGAUUUGAUUUUCGAGAUCCAAUCGACUGGCAUAGAACACAUGUACGGUGCAGGAAGAAAGAGGAGUGAGACAGCGGUCAGUGGCAGCCCACGCCCGCGUUAUGAUUUUGUGGCCAUUUUAUAACUAACAACAUUCCAGCGGCGCCGACAACUGAGCCAGCGUCCCCAGUUGAAGUCCCCAUCCGAAAAUCCCAUCCCAGUUUUCAGACCCUGUCCACGGGACCACACACAUCGAUAUCGAUGGUGAUGGUGAUGGUUUAGCCGAUGAUGAUGACCGCUCUUUGCCGCAGGGAGGAGUUGGGGCGAAGUGCACCGGGAACGAUGUCUGGUGACAGAAGCGGCAACGGGAGCAGAAUCGAAAGUUCGAGGAGGAGGAUGUCCAGGACCAGAGGACCGAUCGAAACCUGUUGGGGUGAUACCAAAGGACGGAAGCCCAUUCCCUUUCCCCCUAACUCAUAAUUUUUUAUACCCCUGCAGAAGGUUUUA